This 504-nucleotide ribosomal RNA is filed under the name uncultured bacterium. RNAcentral describes it as "partial 16S ribosomal RNA". It matches the Rfam family "Bacterial small subunit ribosomal RNA", at positions 30 to 523 of the family's 1533-position model. The record is from RNAcentral.
AUUGAACGCUGGCGGCAGGCCUAACACAUGCAAGUCGAGCGGUAACACAGGGAGCUUGCUCCUGGGUGACGAGCGGCGGACGGGUGAGUAAUGUCUGGGAAACUGCCUGAUGGAGGGGGAUAACUACUGGAAACGGUAGCUAAUACCGCAUAACGUCGCAAGACCAAAGAGGGGGACCUUCGGGCCUCUUGCCAUCAGAUGUGCCCAGAUGGGAUUAGCUAGUAGGUGGGGUAACGGCUCACCUAGGCGACGAUCCCUAGCUGGUCUGAGAGGAUGACCAGCCACACUGGAACUGGGACACGGUCCAGACUCCUACGGGAGGCAGCAGUGGGGAAUAUUGCACAAUGGGCGCAAGCCUGAUGCAGCCAUGCCGCGUGUAUGAAGAAGGCCUUCGGGUUGUAAAGUACUUUCAGCGGGGAGGAAGGCGACAAGGUUAAUAACCUUGUCGAUUGACGUUACCCGCAGAAGAAGCACCGGCUAACUCCGUACCAGCAGCCGCCGUAA